GCCCCGGUAGCCCAGCGGUAGAGGCCAUGGAUUCAAAACCCAUACAGCGUCGGUUCGAAUCCGACUCGGGGCAC
RNAcentral lists this transfer RNA (74 nucleotides) under Streptomyces atratus. RNAcentral describes it as "tRNA-Leu". It matches the Rfam family "tRNA". From Rfam's summary of the family: Transfer RNA (tRNA) molecules are approximately 80 nucleotides in length. Their secondary structure includes four short double-helical elements and three loops (D, anti-codon, and T loops). Further hydrogen bonds mediate the characteristic L-shaped molecular structure. tRNAs have two regions of fundamental functional importance: the anti-codon, which is responsible for specific mRNA codon recognition, and the 3' end, to which the tRNAs corresponding amino acid is attached (by aminoacyl-tRNA synthetases). tRNAs cope with the degeneracy of the genetic code in two manners: having more than one tRNA (with a specific anti-codon) for a particular amino acid; and 'wobble' base-pairing, i.e. permitting non-standard base-pairing at the 3rd anti-codon position. The record is from RNAcentral. RNAcentral also lists the same sequence under 8 other names. Lineage: Bacteria; Bacillati; Actinomycetota; Actinomycetes; Kitasatosporales; Streptomycetaceae.